CACUGUCUGUGUCAGUUACCAGAUUUCCUUCUUUGUCUUUGCAGGAGAAUGUGCUAGCACUAAAGCCAUCGGUUUGAGGUUUAAUUCUUUGGUAGAAUUUCCGGACAUCUUUCUGACUCCUGUACAUCUUUCGCUCACACUCACGCUUUUCCAUUUCCUUUUUCUUCUUGCGGAAGAGACGUUUCUCCUGUCUCCUUUUCUCCUGAUAUUUCUUCUUCAUCUGGUGCGUUACUACUGAUCGCAGGGUCGCUUUGUAUGCCGCAACUCUUUGUCGUACCAUGGGUUAUUUGGGGGAGGCUUUCUGUACCCAAGUACGGAUUUCGCAAAAUUCUCCAAGGAAAGGGCAAUGGAUUGUCACUGCGCCAUUAUAUCAUCGGAAGAAGGAGUUAUUCCAUUAAGCAGUUGGGUCAGUCGAGUGGAGUAUGGUGUGCCAUCUGUUGUGUUUGCAGCGUUCGUGCAGUGUCAGAUCCAUUGUCGGCGUAUUCCAAGUAGCAGCGCAGACCACAGCGGCAAAUCAGAGGCAGUUCACCAUCACCAACAUGCAGUACACUGUGGUGAGGCGAAUUCAAAGAAAUGGCGCAAAUAGCACAACUGGCAACUCUGCAAGAAGACUCAGGAGACUGAGCAGAAGGGGAUAAUGCUACUAGACCUCAACAAUGAGCUUGUUAUAAUUUGUGAUUAAUGCUUUACUUUGGAAGAAAUUGUUAGUGAUAUGAAUUGAGUGAUAAGUUGUUCAGUAAUGCUUAAGCUUAUAAAUAAAGUUAUCUUUUCGAGAA
Molecule: long non-coding RNA, 776 nt
Organism: Stomoxys calcitrans (stable fly)
Lineage: Eukaryota; Metazoa; Arthropoda; Insecta; Diptera; Muscidae
Exons: 2
Source: RefSeq, a predicted model, not a curated record